GACGAACGCUGGCGGCGUGCUUAACACAUGCAAGUCGAGCGGUAAGGGCCCCUUCGGGGGUACACGAGCGGCGAAACGGGUGAGUAACACGUGAGUAACCCUCGCCCCCCACAUUGGGACGUAAACCCCGGGGAAACCCGGGGACGUAACUACCGAAUACGACCACUCAAGGCAUCUCGAGUGGUGGAAGCUCCGGCGGUGGAGGAUGGACUCGCGGCCUAUCAGCUUGUUGGUGAGGUAACCGG
This 245-nucleotide ribosomal RNA is filed under the name uncultured bacterium. RNAcentral's name for it is "partial 16S ribosomal RNA". It matches the Rfam family "Bacterial small subunit ribosomal RNA", at positions 28 to 263 of the family's 1533-position model. The record is from RNAcentral.